This is a long non-coding RNA of Medicago truncatula (barrel medic), 754 nucleotides long. RefSeq lists it as uncharacterized. Lineage: Eukaryota; Viridiplantae; Streptophyta; Magnoliopsida; Fabales; Fabaceae. The transcript has 4 exons. The record is from RefSeq and is a predicted model, not a curated record.
UCCAGCACUCUCUUCACUCCGACGAAUCUUCGAUCAAUCUCGUUACACUUCAGCUUAGUACUUGUAGAUAAGGAGGAAGUUGAUUUUAUCACUGAUUGACAAAAAGGCUUAGAUAGUUUGUAACUUGAAAGAUGGAUGAAGGAGAUGGCCAAGGAAUUGGUGUUGGAACUACCAAAAGAGAAUCAUUAGUUUCGCCCCAAUACCAAAUCACAAAGGACUAACCAUUGGCAAGAAGGUUGAGGAGGUUUUGAAAGAGUGGGGUAUAAGAAAUGUGUCCACGAUCACCGUGGACAACGCUUCCUCUAAUGAUGUGGCUGUUAGUUAUUUGAAAAAAAGACUUAAGAUCAAGAAUGGGUUGUUGGGUGAAGGGGAUCACUUCCAUAUGAGGUGUGUUGCCCAUAUAUUGAACUUAGUAGUCAUGGACGGGUUGAAAGAUCAAGAUUUGUCUAUUUCUAGCAUCCGCAAUGCGGUUAGGUUUGUGAGGUCUUCACCUCAAAGAGCUUUGAAAUUUAAAGAAUGCAUUGAUAUGUCAAGGAUAACAUGUAAAAAACAUGUUUGUCUUGACGUUUCCACUAGGUGGAAUUCACUUUUCAUGAUGUUGGAUACCGCUGAAAAAUUUCAACCCGCUUUUGAGAAGUUAGUGCAUGAAGAUUCUGGCUAUGUUGAGUGGUUUAAAGAGGCUGGCCUUCCUACUCCUAAUGAUUGGGAAAAGGCUAGAGCCUUUGUUAGCUUUUUAAAGAUUUUCUAUGAUGCU